UGGGGAAUUUUGGACAAUGGGGGAAACCCUGAUCCAGCCAUCCCGCGUGUGCGAUGAAGGCCUUCGGGUUGUAAAGCACUUUUGGCAGGAAAGAAACGUCGCGGGUUAAUACCCCGCGAAACUGACGGUACCUGCAGAAUAAGCACCGGCUAACUACGUGCCAGCAGCCGCGGUAAUACGUAGGGUGCAAGCGUUAAUCGGAAUUACUGGGCGUAAAGCGUGCGCAGGCGGUUCGGAAAGAAAGAUGUGAAAUCCCAGAGCUUAACUUUGGAACUGCAUUUUUAACUACCGGGCUAGAGUGUGUCAGAGGGAGGUGGAAUUCCGCGUGUAGCAGUGAAAUGCGUAGAUAUGCGGAGGAACACCGAUGGCGAAGGCAGCCUCCUGGGAUAACACUGACGCUCAUGCACGAAAGCGUGGGGAGCAAACAGGAUUAGAUACCCUGGUAGUCCACGCCCUAAACGAUGUCAACUAGCUGUUGGGGGCCUUCGGGCCUUGGUAGCGCAGCUAACGCGUGAAGUUGACCGCCUGGGGAGUACGGUCGCAAGAUUAAAACUCAAAGGAAUUG
This 565-nucleotide ribosomal RNA is filed under the name uncultured bacterium. RNAcentral describes it as "partial 16S ribosomal RNA". It matches the Rfam family "Bacterial small subunit ribosomal RNA", at positions 355 to 912 of the family's 1533-position model. The record is from RNAcentral.